UACGGGGAGGGCGAGCGUUGUUCGGAAUCACUGGGCGUAAAGGGCGCGUAGGCGGCCCGCACAAGUCUGCGGUGAAAACCCCCGGCUUAACCGGGGGCCGGCCGUGGAAACUGUCGGGCUGGAGGCUGGGAGAGGGCAGCGGAAUUCCCGGUGUAGCGGUGAAAUGCGUAGAGAUCGGGAGGAACACCGGCGGCGAAGGCGGCUGCCUGGACCAGUCCUGACGCUGAGGCGCGAAAGCUAGGGGAGCAAACAGG
RNAcentral lists this ribosomal RNA (254 nucleotides) under uncultured bacterium. Its description in RNAcentral is "partial 16S ribosomal RNA". It matches the Rfam family "Bacterial small subunit ribosomal RNA", at positions 524 to 776 of the family's 1533-position model. The record is from RNAcentral.